UUUCCGUAGGUGAACCUGCGGAAGGAUCAUUAAAGAGUAAGGGUCUUCGGGCCCGUUCUCCAACCCUUUGUUUAACUACCAUGUUGCUUUGGCGGGCCCGUCUCACGACCGCCGGAAGUUUGGCUUCGACCAAACUUCUGGCCCGUGCCCGUCAGUGGCCACUUCAAAUUCUUGAUCAAGUAUGAUGUCUUAGUUGAAAACUUAAUAGUUAAAACUUUCAACAACGGAUCUCUUGGUUCUG
RNAcentral lists this unclassified non-coding RNA (241 nucleotides) under plant metagenome. RNAcentral's name for it is "partial contains small subunit ribosomal RNA, internal transcribed spacer 1, and 5.8S ribosomal RNA". The record is from RNAcentral.